GUUGGGCAUGGUGGAGCACACACAAAAUCAACUGCUGGGGAGGCUGAGGCUGGUGGAUUGCUUGAGCUCGGGAGUUCUGAGCUACAGUAGAACUGAACUCAUUGGGUGUCCACAUUAAGUCUGGCACCAAUAUGGUGAACCCCCAGGAAUAGGGGGUCACUAAGCUGCUUAAGGAGGGGGUAAACUGGCCCAGGUCAGAAAUAGAGCAGGUCAAAGUUCCUGUGUUAAUCAGAGUCAGACCUGCCCCAUGAGUGGCCCUGGUACUUUCAGCUGAGGGUGAGAGAGGGAGCUGCAGUCUAU
RNAcentral lists this signal recognition particle RNA (300 nucleotides) under Vombatus ursinus (common wombat). Its description in RNAcentral is "Metazoan signal recognition particle RNA (ENSVURG00010003041.1)". It matches the Rfam family "Metazoan signal recognition particle RNA". From Rfam's summary of the family: The signal recognition particle (SRP) is a universally conserved ribonucleoprotein. It is involved in the co-translational targeting of proteins to membranes. The record is from RNAcentral. Lineage: Eukaryota; Metazoa; Chordata; Mammalia; Diprotodontia; Vombatidae.